RNAcentral lists this long non-coding RNA (1264 nucleotides) under Vombatus ursinus (common wombat). Its description in RNAcentral is "lncRNA (ENSVURG00010009932.1)". Lineage: Eukaryota; Metazoa; Chordata; Mammalia; Diprotodontia; Vombatidae. The record is from RNAcentral.
CCCCAAGAACACUGUACCUCAUCCAACCUUGUUACCAUGAACCGAAGUGUUAUCUUCCUCCUCUGCAACACCCUGCUAGCUUUGACUAGGGCUCAAGCACCCUCACCACCCACAACCACCAGCUGUCGCUGCCCACAAGUUAAUAAGAGUAUCUCCAGCCUAAAACCUUUUGAGAAACUUGAUGUGAUUCUCCCCAGUUCUCUAUGUCCACGCCCUGAGAUCGUAGGCAUAGUGAAGGAUACCAAGGAACAAGUAUGUCUGAAUUCAGAUACCCCAACCAUGAAGGUUGUACUGAAAACAAUUAGAAGGACAAGGUCUUAAACAUCUCCUGUCAACAACUGAAGACACAUACUCUGCAUGUGGUUGGCAAGGUUUAACCAGGAUGAAGCCCUCCCACAUAUACAGAGAAAAGUCAAGCCCCAACUGUUUCUAGUGCUUAAUUCUUCUAAAAAAAAAUAAUCACCAAUCACAAAAAAAUUGACUGGCUACUUUAAAAAAAAAAAUCUGUUUAGCAACAGAAACUCUAGUACUGUAAUUCCUGAUCUUGUGUUGUUUUUAAGUGAGUGAUAUUUAAGUCAUUUUAAAUAGAGGGUUACCUAACUUGACAUUCUUUCAGAGAUUUGUUGGACCUCCUAAAUGGUUCUGUCUAUAGUUAAAGAUUGUCACUGGCAGAUGAUGCUACAAGAAAAUACAGGCCUGAAAGCAAAAAGUCACAUCAGGUAUUUACUACUUAAAUCCAUUUCAAAGAAUAGUUAUUUUACUGAGUACACUUGAGGACCAUACUACCAGAAAGCACCAUACGGUAGCAAAAGUCUUUAAUGACCGACAGAGCUAGGGUUCAGAACAUCUGAGAGACUGUGACCUACUAGGCUAGAGAUUCUCAACCUGGGGUACAUGCACUCAGUGGGGUACAAGACACUUAUCAAGGGAUUCUGGAUAGUAUUUUGAGUAAAUCCUGGGGUUCUCAAUCUGGGGUACACUGCACCCAAGUGGGUACAAGUUAUUUGUCAUGGGAUUCUGGGUAAAUGAACUAUAUUACCCUAUGGAGAUAUUCCAAAAUCAGUAAUGUUAGAGAAAAACAAUUUGUGGAUUGGAGAGAGAACCUUGAGAAAUGGGUAGGAAAAGAAAGAGUGUUGUGGUACAUCUGAAAAAUUUGAAAGAGACAGUUGAAGCACUAAUUCCUACUGACCAAACCCAAAUGAAUGAAAUCUGGCUUUUCAUAUCAAAUUAGAAAAAUAAAUCAGUGAUAACCCAGUGAAAAGCA